Molecule: ribosomal RNA, 492 nt
Filed under: uncultured bacterium
Lineage: Bacteria
Description: partial 16S ribosomal RNA
Rfam family: Bacterial small subunit ribosomal RNA
Source: RNAcentral
AGUGAACGCUGGCGGUAGGCCUAACACAUGCAAGUCGAACGGCAGCACAGUAAGAGCUUGCUCUUACGGGUGGCGAGUGGCGGACGGGUGAGGAAUACAUCGGAAUCUACUUUUUCGUGGGGGAUAACGUAGGGAAACUUACGCUAAUACCGCAUACGACCUACGGGUGAAAGCAGGGGAUCUUCGUACCUUGCGCGAUUGAAUGAGCCGAUGUCGGAUUGGCUAGUUGGCGGGGUAAAGGCCCACCAAGGCGACGAUCCGUAGCUGGUCUGAGAGGAUGAUCAGCCACACUGGAACUGAGACACGGUCCAGACUCCUACGGGAGGCAGCAGUGGGGAAUAUUGGACAAUGGGCGCAAGCCUGAUCCAGCCAUACCGCGUGGGUGAAGAAGGCCUUCGGGUUGUAAAGCCCUUUUGUUUGGAAAGAAAAGCAGCAGGUUAAUACCCCGCUGUUCUGACGGUACCCAAAGAAUAAGCACCGGCUAACUUCGUG